CGUCAAUAUUUUCAAAUCUAUUUACUCACCGUUUGGUACAGAUAUAAGCAAGAACUAGCUAUUACAGAGAUAGAUACAAAUAUGGGGAUAAGAAAAAUAGCAUUUUGAUAAAAAUUUGGUUGUUUCCGGGAAUAAAAAAAUAGCAUUUGUAUAGAUAAUAUGGAAUAAGAAAAAUAAUGGGUGGUUAUAUAUAAAAAUUGAAGGUGUUGGUGGAAAUAGUUAUACUAAAUUAUUUUAAGUACCUAAGAAUUACUAUUUUCGGAUAAAAAAAUUAGUGUUUGGAUAUAAAAGAUUAUUCCACCCCUUAUUCCCAAUCCAAACAUGUUAAAGAAAAAUUAUUUAAAUUUUCA
RNAcentral lists this long non-coding RNA (350 nucleotides) under Ananas comosus (pineapple). RNAcentral's name for it is "long non-coding RNA (ACOM_LNC009763)". Lineage: Eukaryota; Viridiplantae; Streptophyta; Magnoliopsida; Poales; Bromeliaceae. The record is from RNAcentral.